RNAcentral lists this ribosomal RNA (253 nucleotides) under uncultured bacterium. RNAcentral describes it as "partial 16S ribosomal RNA". It matches the Rfam family "Bacterial small subunit ribosomal RNA", at positions 524 to 777 of the family's 1533-position model. The record is from RNAcentral.
UACGAAGGGGGCUAGCGUUGCUCGGAAUCACUGGGCGUAAAGCGCACGUAGGCGGGUCUUAAGUCGGAGGUGAAAUCCUGGAGCUCAACUCCAGAACUGCCUUCGAUACUGAGGAUCUCGAGUCCGGGAGAGGUGAGUGGAACUGCGAGUGUAGAGGUGAAAUUCGUAGAUAUUCGCAAGAACACCAGUGGCGAAGGCGGCUCACUGGCCCGGUACUGACGCUGAGGUGCGAAAGCGUGGGGAGCAAACAGGG